Molecule: long non-coding RNA, 250 nt
Filed under: Gossypium barbadense (sea-island cotton)
Lineage: Eukaryota; Viridiplantae; Streptophyta; Magnoliopsida; Malvales; Malvaceae
Description: long non-coding RNA (GBAR_LNC000542)
Source: RNAcentral
UCUAAUGAAGUGGUCCUUCGAACCGCAUCCGUAACAGGCCCUGUUAGUAGACUUACCCCAACAUUCACCUAGGUGUCGUCUUCCGCAUUGGGGACAUUCAGGUUUCUCUUGACGAUUAUUGCCCACACUAGCUACUGAAGUAGCUCGGGAGUCCGUCGAUGGUCGUGCUCUGAUGGAAAUUCCCGCAGUCGUCCUCAACUUAUUAGUGUCCUCCCUGAACUUCUUUACAGCUGAGAACGGAGCUUUACCC